CUGUAAGCCUGUGAAGGUGGCCUGUGAGGGUUGCUGGAGGUAUCAGAAGUGCGAAUGCUGACAUAAGUAACGAUAAAGCGGGUGAAAAGCCCGCUCGCCGGAAGACCAAGGGUUCCUGUCCAACGUUAAUCGGGGCAGGGUGAGUCGACCCCUAAGGCGAGGCCGAAAGGCGUAGUCGAUGGGAAACGGGUUAAUAUUCCCGUACUUGGUGUUACUGCGAAGGGGGGACGGAGAAGGCUAUGUUGGCCGGGCGACGGUUGUCCCGGUUUAAGCGUGUAGGUGUGUGUUCCAGGUAAAUCCGGUUCACUUUAACACUGAGGCGUGACGACGAGGCACUACGGUGCUGAAGCAACAAAUGCCCUGCUUCCAGGAAAAGCCUCUAAGCAUCAGGUAACAUCAAAUCGUACCCCAAACCGACACAGGUGGUCAGGUAGAGAAUACCAAGGCGCUUGAGAGAACUCGGGUGAAGGAACUAGGCAAAAUGGUGCCGUAACUUCGGGAGAAGGCACGCUGACAC
Molecule: ribosomal RNA, 517 nt
Filed under: Salmonella enterica
Lineage: Bacteria; Pseudomonadati; Pseudomonadota; Gammaproteobacteria; Enterobacterales; Enterobacteriaceae
Also listed under: 2 other names
Description: partial 23S ribosomal RNA
Rfam family: Bacterial large subunit ribosomal RNA
Source: RNAcentral